RNAcentral lists this unclassified non-coding RNA (1488 nucleotides) under Lucilia cuprina (Australian sheep blowfly). Its description in RNAcentral is "cytoplasmic polyadenylation element-binding protein, transcript variant X3". Lineage: Eukaryota; Metazoa; Arthropoda; Insecta; Diptera; Calliphoridae. The record is from RNAcentral.
AACAAACACUCCUUUUGAAUAAAACCAGAAGAAAAUUUACUUUUUUCAAUUCCUCCAAAUCCUGCACAGUCUCUUGAUUUUAUUCGAAAGGUGAGGUUUUAUUUUCUCAAGCACUUAGACCCUCUAAAAAGCAGAAUAUUUGGAAAAAAUUAAUAUAUUUUUAAUUUCUUGAGAAAUAAAAAGAAACAACUCUGCUGUUGAAUAAAAUUGUAUUUUGUGUUUUAAUUAAUAAAUUUUAUGUCAAAUAAUUUUGUUCACUUAUUGUUACAAUAAUCAAAAAAACUGUUACAAAGUGGUUGUAGUUGUUUUUUUUUAUAUUAUAUUAAACACAAAUAACAACAACAAUUAAAAAAGUAGUAAAUUCCAAACGAACAAGUGUCACACAAAAUAAAUGAAUAAAUAAAAUCGAAAUAAAAAAAAACACAAAUAACGGUGAAUGAAAUUUUUACGUUUUUAAAGCUGAAUGUAUUGAAAUGCGUGCCUGUGACAGAGUUUAGUUUGUUUUCGCUUCUUUUAAAAAAACGUGCGAAUUAAAUUCGAAAGAAAAAACUACUAAAAAUGUGCCAUUAUUAAUAAAAAGUUUUAAAGAAAUACUGAAUAAAAAGAAAUAAUAUUUAGACAGUAAACUAUCACCAGUUAUUUAAACAGUUGUGUAUAGACUUCUGUUCGAUUUGACUGUUGGCACAAAAUGACUAGUCAUUAUCGUUACAUGUGAGUCCCUUGCCUUAACGGUGACGUCACUUCCAACGUGUUUCGGUAACGUUCAAGUACAAUGUAAGGUCAUUUGAUCGGGUGGUGAAGUAUAAAUGCAACCUUGCAGUGUAUUCCUUACUUACGUCACCGCCACCUAUACGUCACUGUCAAAAUUGACAUCAUAUAUUAGUUAGUCUCCAAAGUAUAAUACUAACCAUUCACUUGGAUUUUCAUAACAAGAAGAAAGACAUAACACGGAAAAACAUAAAAAGGAACAAAAAAAAAAACUAAAUUUGUGGAAAUUUUUAUUAAAAUAAAAUAAUUUAUAUAAAGAAAAUAAAAAAAAGGCAAAUAUUAUUGACCAACCGUCACAAAGCCAAUUCUUUUAACAAAGCCUGUGGAGUUAAAAGAUUUGGGAGAAAUUAUUCAAAGAUACUCAUCUGUAGGAUACAAAACGUGUUGUUUGUUUACAUUCUGAUUUUUGGAACAAGGAUCAAUGAAAUGGAAACAUAUUAUAUCUUCCGAUGAAAACUAUCAAUGUCGAUCAUCAUUUAAACAUAAAUCAAAAUCAAUAUGUGAAUCUUUUGGUUGACAUUUCGUAGUAUGGAGACAAUAACAAAACUAAUAGUGUUGAGAACUUAAUUCCGAUGUACAAUAAUCAAUUGAAUAACUAUUGUUCUAAUUAUUCUAACUAAAAUUUAGAAAAAUGAAUAUAUUAUUCUAGAUUUUGCACUAUAAAAUUUAUAAUUGUUUUUCAAUUUUUAAAGAAAAUCAAAUAAAUUUAUUCAAUGUCAA